The sequence is a ribosomal RNA, 1472 nucleotides long. It matches the Rfam family "Bacterial large subunit ribosomal RNA", at positions 1 to 1471 of the family's 2925-position model.
AGAUUAAGUUAUUAAGGGCGCACGGUGGAUGCCUUGGCACUAGAAGCCGACGAAGGACGUUACUAACGACGAUAUGCUUUGGGGAGCUGUAAGUAAGCUUUGAUCCAGAGAUUUCCGAAUGGGGAAACCCAGCACGAGUUAUGUCGUGUUAUCGAUAUGUGAAUACAUAGCAUAUCUGAAGGCAGACGCGGAGAACUGAAACAUCUUAGUACCCGCAGGAAGAGAAAGAAAAAUCGAUUCCCUGAGUAGCGGCGAGCGAAACGGGAAGAGCCCAAACCAACGAGCUUGCUUGUUGGGGUUGUAGGACACUCUAUACGGAGUUACAAAAGAACAGACUAGACGAAUCAUCUGGAAAGAUGAAUCAAAGAAGGUAAUAAUCCUGUAGUCGAAAGUUUGUUCACUCUUGAGUGGAUCCUGAGUACGACGGAACACGAGAAAUUCCGUCGGAAUCUGGGAGGACCAUCUCCCAAGGCUAAAUACUCUCUAGUGACCGAUAGUGAACCAGUACCGUGAGGGAAAGGUGAAAAGUACCCCGGAAGGGGAGUGAAAUAGAACUUGAAACCGUGUGCUUACAAGUAGUCAGAGCCCGUUAAUGGGUGAUGGCGUGCCUUUUGUAGAAUGAACCGGCGAGUUACGAUUUGAUGCAAGGUUAAGCAGUGAAUGUGGAGCCGUAGCGAAAGCGAGUCUGAAUAGGGCGUUGAGUAUUUGGUCGUAGACCCGAAACCAGGUGAUCUACCCAUGACCAGGUUGAAGUUCAGGUAACACUGAAUGGAGGACCGAACCGACUUACGUUGAAAAGUGAGCGGAUGAGUUGUGGGUAGCGGAGAAAUUCCAAUCGAACCUGGAGAUAGCUGGUUCUCUCCGAAAUAGCUUUAGGGCUAGCCUCAAGUGAUGAUUAUUGGAGGUAGAGCACUGUUUGGACGAGGGGCCCUUAUCGGGUUACCGAAUUCAGACAAACUCCGAAUGCCAAUCAAUUUAACUUGGGAGUCAGAACGCGGGUGAUAAGGUCCGUGUUCGAAAGGGAAACAGCCCAGACCACCAGCUAAGGUCCCAAAAUAUAUGUUAAGUGGAAAAGGAUGUGGCGUUGCCCAGACAACUAGGAUGUUGGCUUAGAAGCAGCCAUCAUUUAAAGAGUGCGUAAUAGCUCACUAGUCGAGUGACACUGCGCCGAAAAUGUACCGGGGCUAAACAUAUUACCGAAGCUGUGGAUUGUCCGUAAGGACAAUGGUAGGAGAGCGUUCUAAGGGCGUUGAAGCAUGAUCGCAAGGACAUGUGGAGCGCUUAGAAGUGAGAAUGCCGGUGUGAGUAGCGAAAGACGGGUGAGAAUCCCGUCCACCGAUUGACUAAGGUUUCCAGAGGAAGGCUCGUCCGCUCUGGGUUAGUCGGGUCCUAAGCUGAGGCCGAUAGGCGUAGGCGAUGGAUAACAGGUUGAUAUUCCUGUACCACCAUUAUUCGUUUUAAGCGAUGGGGGG